This 253-nucleotide ribosomal RNA is filed under the name uncultured bacterium. RNAcentral describes it as "partial 16S ribosomal RNA". It matches the Rfam family "Bacterial small subunit ribosomal RNA", at positions 524 to 776 of the family's 1533-position model. The record is from RNAcentral.
UACAUAGGUCUCAAGCGUUGUUCGGAUUCAUUGGGCGUAAAGGGUGCGUAGGCGGCACGGUAAGUCGGGUGUGAAAUCUUGGAGCUUAACUCCGAAACUGCAUUCGAUACUGCCGUGCUUGAGGACUGGAGAGGAGACUGGAAUUUACGGUGUAGCGGUGAAAUGCGUAGAUAUCGUAAGGAAGACCAGUGGCGAAGGCGGGUCUCUGGACAGUUCCUGACGCUGAGGCACGAAGGCCAGGGGAGCAAACGGG